Non-coding RNA from Salvia hispanica, 1447 nucleotides. The record is from RefSeq and is a predicted model, not a curated record. NCBI's taxonomy places the organism in Eukaryota, Viridiplantae, Streptophyta, Magnoliopsida, Lamiales, Lamiaceae.
CACACACACAAUAAUAUAUACAGAAUAUGUCGACUCCAAUAGUUACCCGUUUAGCCACAUUUUGGAUGUGAAAAUCGAUCUCCACUGGCCACACUCUCUCUAUCACAAAUCAAACAAUAAAUAAUAGAAAUAAAUAAAUAAAUACACACACAAAUUUAUAUAUAUAUCAUCUCUUGCAAUUCUAGCAAGGACUGAAUUUUACUAAACAAGAAAAAGAAAAGGAGAAGAAAAGAAGAGGGCCUGAAUUCAGCCCUCUGCUUCCCUAUCUAUGCCUCCUCUCAGAUCUUGAAUUCAAUCCCUUUUUCAUCUGGGCUUCCACUCUUCCGUGGGUUUUGGAUUGCGCCUGCUUUUGGUUUUCGAUCUGUCGAACACAGCAGAUUGCCUAUUUUUUUAAUCUGAGUAGGUUUGUUGCUUUAAGGUAAUUUGCUAUAAUGGAAAUGGAGCCUGGAAAGCUUUUCAUUGGUGGGAUUUCAUGGGACACCAGUGAGGAGCGAUUGAGGGAGUAUUUUCAGACUUUUGGUGAAGUAGUUGAAGCGGUGAUCAUGAAGGAUCGCACCACUGGCCGUGCUCGCGGCUUUGGUUUCAUUGUUUUUGCUGAUGCUUCUGUUGCUGAGAAAGUUGUCAAGGAAAGGCACGUCAUAGACGGAAGAACUGUAAGUUGUGAUUGCUUUGCUGUUUGUUUGCCAAUGACAUUUCAUAAGAUCGUCAACUUAUUGGUGAAGUUUUUCGUUUGUCAUAUAUCUGACAUAUUUGUUAUAGGCAAUACAUGCGAUCCAGUCAAUACCGUUUCAUAAGAUUACCAACUUAUUGGCGAAGGUUUCUCGAAUGCCUUAAAUCCGAUAUGUUUAUUGCCAAUGGCAAUACAUAGAAACGUUCAAUUUGAUACAAUAACUAUAGAUAACAAAUAAAUAAACUUCCUGUUAGUGCAAUGUAUGGUGUUUGAUUACUUUUUCUUUGGAUCUCGUGACUACGUGCAUAUGAUGGCAUUUUAAUUGUUUUAUACGGCGUUUUAUUACUUUUUCUUAUGAUGUACUGUAUGAUGUCAUUUUAAUUGUUGUAUGCUGUCUUAUGAGCCAAGACAAUGCAGAUUCAUAAAUGACAUUCGUCGCUAAUGUUUUAGCAGUUGUGAUGGGACUGAACGGAGUAUGUAUUUAGUAAAAAAGCCUUUGGAAGAGAUAGUCCGUCUUUCAAAACAAAUGAUUUUUUGACUGUUCAGGAAAUAGGUAAAGGCUAGGAAGCAAGAAACAAUAUUCGGCUAAAUUGCUUCUAUUAGGCUAAGCUAGCAGGUUUUAGCUUGUUUAAACAGCAAUCAACCUAUUUCUUAAACAUAUGAUGGUGCUAAGGGUCUAAGAUAUGAAGAACAUGGAUAAAUUAUGAGGAAUUUCAGAGAUUUGAAGGGACUGGAAUGCACCGCACCAAGUGCUUUCGUCAUUUAGUUUACUUAGCU